This 1158-nucleotide ribosomal RNA is filed under the name Escherichia coli. Its description in RNAcentral is "partial 23S ribosomal RNA". It matches the Rfam family "Bacterial large subunit ribosomal RNA", at positions 1 to 1191 of the family's 2925-position model. Lineage: Bacteria; Pseudomonadati; Pseudomonadota; Gammaproteobacteria; Enterobacterales; Enterobacteriaceae. The record is from RNAcentral.
GGGUUGUGAGGUUAAGCGACUAAGCGUACACGGUGGAUGCCCUGGCAGUCAGAGGCGAUGAAGGACGUGCUAAUCUGCGAUAAGCGUCGGUAAGGUGAUAUGAACCGUUAUAACCGGCGAUUUCCGAAUGGGGAAACCCAGUGUGAUUCGUCACACUAUCAUUAACUGAAUCCAUAGGUUAAUGAGGCGAACCGGGGGAACUGAAACAUCUAAGUACCCCGAGGAAAAGAAAUCAACCGAGAUUCCCCCAGUAGCGGCGAGCGAACGGGGAGCAGCCCAGAGCCUGAAUCAGUGUGUGUGUUAGUGGAAGCGUCUGGAAAGGCGCGCGAUACAGGGUGACAGCCCCGUACACAAAAAUGCAUAUACUGUGAGCUCGAUGAGUAGGGCGGGACACGUGGUAUCCUGUCUGAAUAUGGGGGGACCAUCCUCCAAGGCUAAAUACUCCUGACUGACCGAUAGUGAACCAGUACCGUGAGGGAAAGGCGAAAAGAACCCCGGCGAGGGGAGUGAAAAAGAACCUGAAACCGUGUACGUACAAGCAGUGGGAGCCUCUUUUAUGGGGUGACUGCGUACCUUUUGUAUAAUGGGUCAGCGACUUAUAUUCUGUAGCAAGGUUAACCGAAUAGGGGAGCCGAAGGGAAACCGAGUCUUAACUGGGCGUUAAGUUGCAGGGUAUAGACCCGAAACCCGGUGAUCUAGCCAUGGGCAGGUUGAAGGUUGGGUAACACUAACUGGAGGACCGAACCGACUAAUGUUGAAAAAUUAGCGGAUGACUUGUGGCUGGGGGUGAAAGGCCAAUCAAACCGGGAGAUAGCUGGUUCUCCCCGAAAGCUAUUUAGGUAGCGCCUCGUGAAUUCAUCUCCGGGGGUAGAGCACUGUUUCGGCAAGGGGGUCAUCCCGACUUACCAACCCGAUGCAAACUGCGAAUACCGGAGAAUGUUAUCACGGGAGACACACGGCGGGUGCUAACGUCCGUCGUGAAGAGGGAAACAACCCAGACCGCCAGCUAAGGUCCCAAAGUCAUGGUUAAGUGGGAAACGAUGUGGGAAGGCCCAGACAGCCAGGAUGUUGGCUUAGAAGCAGCCAUCAUUUAAAGAAAGCGUAAUAGCUCACUGGUCGAGUCGGCCUGCGCGGAAGAUGUAACGGGGCUAAACCAUG